UGGAAAUUGGUCUGUAAUUGGUAACCUC
This 28-nucleotide small RNA is filed under the name Bombyx mori (domestic silkworm). RNAcentral describes it as "ovarian small RNA-34408". Lineage: Eukaryota; Metazoa; Arthropoda; Insecta; Lepidoptera; Bombycidae. The record is from RNAcentral.